Molecule: ribosomal RNA, 754 nt
Filed under: Candidatus Phytoplasma solani
Lineage: Bacteria; Bacillati; Mycoplasmatota; Mollicutes; Acholeplasmatales; Acholeplasmataceae
Description: bacterial SSU rRNA
Rfam family: Bacterial small subunit ribosomal RNA
Source: RNAcentral
GAUCAGGGAGGGAAAAGAUGGUGGAAAAACCAUUAUGACGGUACCUAAUGAAUAAGCCCCGGCUAACAAUGUGCCAGGGGGCGCGGUAAUACAUAGGGGGCAAGCNGUUAUCCGGAAUUAUUGGGCGUAAAGGGUGCGUAGGCGGUUAAAUAAGUUUAUGGUCUAAGUGCAACGCUCAACGUUGUGAUGCUAUAAAAACUGUUUAGCUAGAGUCGGAUAGAGGCAAGUGGAAUUCCGUGUGUAGUGGUAAAAUGCGUAAGUAUACGGAGGAACACCAGAAGCGAAGGCGGCUUGCUGGGUCUUAACUGACGCUGAGGCACGAAAGCGUGGGGAGCAAACAGGAUUAGAUACCCUGGUAGUCCACGCCCUAAACGAUGAGUACUAAACGUUGGAUAAAACCAGUGUUAAGUUAACACAUUAAGUACUCCGCCUGAGUAGUACGUACGCAAGUAUGAAACUUAAAGGAAUUGACGGGACUCCCGCACAAGCGGUGGAUCAUGUUGUUUAAUUCGAAGGUACCCGAAAAACCUCACCAGGUCUUGACAUGCUUUUGCAAAGCUGUAGAAAUACAGUGGAGGUUAUCAGAAGCACAGGUGGUGCAUGGUUGUCGUCAGCUCGUGUCGUGAGAUGUUGGGUUAAGUCCCGCAACGAGCGCAACCCUUGUUGUUAAUUGCCAUCAUUAAGUUGGGGACUUUAACAAGACUGCCAAUGAUAAAAUGGAGGAAGGUGGGGACGACGUCAAAUCAUUAUGCCC